This 1107-nucleotide long non-coding RNA is filed under the name Homo sapiens (human). RNAcentral's name for it is "non-protein coding lnc-BRF1-10:1". The record is from RNAcentral. Lineage: Eukaryota; Metazoa; Chordata; Mammalia; Primates; Hominidae.
UGGAAGUGGAAGGGCCCGAGGAAGAGCUGGAAUUCGCGGGGGAGAGAGGGUUCGUGCCAGAAACCGCCAAGGCCGAGCCUGAAGUCCCUCCACAGGAGGGCGUGCCAGCGUGGCUGCCGAGGUCCUUAUGGACACCGCAGGGCAGGCGGGCGGCCACGCGGCUUCCAGCCCUCAGAUCUCCCAGCCGCAGAAGGGCCGGAAGCCCCGGGACCUAGAGCUUCCACUCAGCCCGAGCCUGCUAGGUGCGCCGGGAGCCGAACGGACCCCAGGAUCGGGAACUGGCUCCGGCCUCCAGGCGCCGAGGCCGGCGCUGACCCUGUCCCUGCUUCCUACGCACACGUUGACCCCGGCGCUGCUGACACCCAGCUCGCUGCCUCCCAGCGUUCACUUCCGGAGCAGCCUGAGUCCCGCUGCGCCCCGCAGCCCGGCCAAGCUCUCCUGCCAGCUUCCGUCCAGUGGCGGCGCCCAGGCUGCCCUCUAGCCGGGCUUCACCUUCCAGUCUCCAUGAUGGAGAAGGCUGGAGGCGGUGGUCUCCACAGUUGCAGCCCAGCCCUGGAGACGUGGACGGAGUGGGCAGGGUUGCCACCACCAGGAAGCAUCCAAAGGAUGCCAGUGGCAGAGGCCCAGCUGCCCCCACCAAGUUUCGCCAAGAAAAGCCCAGAAAAUUCAUCUGAACAGCCUUCCUACAGCCGCUCCCCACACCAGGUGGCCAGGUGGGAGUUCCAGACCAGAGCUGUCUCCCGGGAUGUUGACACAGCAGCCACGUUGAUUGGUGUUGGGGCAGCCCCUGUCGGUGUGGCUGGCUUCGGGCCUGGCAUUGGAACGGUGUCUGGCAGCUUGUUGGCUAUGCCGGGAAUCUGUUUCUCAAGCAGCAGCUCAUCUCCGAUGCCAUUCUGGGCUUUGCUGUGUCUGAGGCCAUGGGGCUGUUCUGUUUGGUGGUCGUCUUCCUCAUCCUCGCCACGUGAGGCUCCACAGGGGUCACCUGCCUGUCCCUGCUGCCCGUCCCUACUCCACGCCAUUCCUGGUGAUGGGGUAUGCUAAUUUUUACCAUUAAACACACGUUUCUCUCAAAAAAAAAUUCUCCCCCACAUAAAUUUUACUACGAAA